UGGAAAUGGAGAUAAGCACAGCUGUGGUCACCUUGUCAAAUAUCAACGCAGCAGUCUGUUUGUCUUAUGCCCACUCUAGCUGUCAGCUGAAAUGUCCUGUGCUGCUAUUAUGUCAUCCUGGCCACCCCGAAAGGUAGCCUGAGCUUGUCUUUUGUCAUCAUGAAAUUUCUCCCCACAGGGCAGAGCCUGCUGUUAAGUAGAGGGAGGUGACCACCCAAUGAGGCAGAAUGUUGGAAGAUUCAGGACACCUAAAAGGAGGUACUUUUUCAUGCAGCACAUACUUAAACUGUGGAACUCACUCCCACAAGAGGCAAUGAUGGCCACCAGCAUGGAUGGCUUUAAAAGAGGAUUAGGCAAAUUCAUGAAGGAUGGCUACUUAGCCAGGAUGGCUCUGCUCUGCCUCCACAGUCCUUCUCAAUUUCCGGUGCUGGAGACACGGGAGGGGAGAGGCCUCUUGUGCUUGAAUCCUGCUUGUGAGUUUCCCACAGGCAUCUGGUUGGUCACUGUGAGAAUGGAAUGCUGGACUAGAUGGACCUGAUCUUACAUUUUUAUGGAUGUUCCAGGUGGCAAAUGCUGUGAGUCAGGCAGAGGCGGGGCUAGCUGCUAAAGCACCCAGAGUGGUGCACAGUUGUGCACCCAGGGGUGGGGGGAGCCGCCCACGGAGGCAGCGCGGUGAGCGUCCCAUGGGGCAGGGCAGUGAGCACAGGGGCGCCACCACCCAUGGUGAGCGUCCCGGGGGGUGACACAGCAAUGUAUGACACCCAGGGCGGAGAGCCCGUGGAGUUAGGCAGUGGCAACUGGAUGUUGGAGAAUGGAGGCUUGCAUCCCAGAUGGCCUAAGCUAGCCUGCUGCCCUCAAACGUAGUAGAGGGCAGUGGAAGGAAGAUUCAGCUACCUGUCUGUUCAGCUGCCUCUGUACAUGGACUAGGGGUGGGGUGGGCCUUUAUCAAAUCCUUUAGGUCAGGCAGCAGUAUAUCUUGGACCAGUUCUGCUGGAAGGGCAAUACCCUAGAAAUUAAUAAAUGGUAAGAUUUUGAAUAUUGGGCGUUUAAAGAAGAUUGAAGGCCAAUGGAAAAAUGCAGGCUAAGCUUUAUUUCCAAGCCAAGACCUCACCUGGGAUAAAGGUGUUAACAUGACCAGACUCUCCACGUGUCCCUAUUUUUCAGGGACAGUCCCAGAAUUACAGAAGCCAUCCCAGUUUUUGAUUUGAUUUGAUCCUGGAAUGUCCCAUUUUUCCUUAGGACGUGACAUUUUUCAUUGGAGAAAUGAUGAAGGGUAUGGAGUUAGGCAACCCCUGAGCCAAGGAGAUAAGAACCUUUAAAAGACAUCUGUAGGCAUCCCUGUGUAAGGAUUUUUUCAAAAUGUUUAAUGUUUAUGUUUUUAAAUAAGACAACCCAGUCAGAUGAGCGAGGUAUAAAUAACAUAUUAUAUUAUAUUGCAUUGCAUUGCAUUAUAUUAUAUUAUAUUAUAUUAUAUUAUAUUAAUUGUUAUUACAGAAAAGAACAUCCCUGUUUUCAUCAGAGAAAUGUUGGAGGGUAUGCAUGAUGAAUGGUGUUGAUGGCCCAUCUAAGAGGAUGAAUAUUGGGCCUGGGCAGACAGAGG
Non-coding RNA from Podarcis lilfordi (Lilford's wall lizard), 1600 nucleotides. The record is from the annotation of a GenBank genome assembly. NCBI's taxonomy places the organism in Eukaryota, Metazoa, Chordata, Lepidosauria, Squamata, Lacertidae.